Long non-coding RNA from Gopherus flavomarginatus (Mexican gopher tortoise), 644 nucleotides. RefSeq lists it as uncharacterized. The record is from RefSeq and is a predicted model, not a curated record. Lineage: Eukaryota; Metazoa; Chordata; Testudines; Testudinidae. The transcript is spliced from 4 exons.
UUCUCUGACUUGUGAGCACGUCUGCUAGCCAAAGUCACCUGACUAAUUAUUUGAACAGAAAAAGCUGUUGCAUACAAGCUGGAAACAUUGUUAAGAUUUUCUGCGGAAACAAAUGUCUAUGGUUUUUCACCAUGAGGGUCUGUAGCACAAGAGAUUUCAGUGCCUCCAGCCACACAGAACAAAACCCUUGUAUCCUGCAGCACUGACCAGCAGUCAGCAAUGGCAUGGGGCUCAGAUGUUUGCAGAAUGCACUCCUGCAAGGUGUCCACCAGGAUAUUCUUUGUUACAGGCAAAUAAACAAUGGGUAAGGGGAAAUGUCCUUUGGAUAAGGCAGCCCGGUGAUGUAUGACUGUGAAAGGAAGAAAAGACAAGGCUGGUAGUUUAAACAGAGAUGUUACAGGUCAGCUCUGGUGACUGCUGGGUUACCUGUUCUGGGAAGUGAUGCCAUUUGCCUGCUAGAAAUCAAAGCUGAGGAACUCAGGAGUAUGACAAAGUUAGUUGCUGUGCCCACAUUUCAGACAAAGAAGAAGGGGAAAAAAGGCAACCACAGACAGAACGGAGAAAGCUCAUUUCAGAGGCGACAGAAAGCUCCCAGAUGAACAGUGGGAGGAGGAUGCAAGGGAAUAAGGUGAAACUCACCAAAG